AACGUUCAAUUACAUGAUCCACUCAAAGAAUUAGGUUCGAAAUUUUUUGAAUAAAAGUGAAAUACGCUAUAAAACCUACAUCUGUAUGUCUAUCCGUAAGUAUGUAUGUACAGCAUGCUCAUCAUAAUUUCGCAAAAUACUGUCGAGGCGAAUGAGAGUGAAAAUUACAAACUAUCACAGCGAGCAAUAAAGAAAUAAUUGUAAAAGCGAGUAAGUAAGAACAUUGAGAGCAGCGGCAGAUAUAAAAAUAAGUACAUAAGCGGCAUAGAUAUACAUAUAUAGAUGUACAAUAUACAUAUAUGAAUGUAUGUAUGUGUACAUGCGAGUGUGGAUUCUCACGCUACUCACACAUAGUGACACGUGAGUGUGUGCAGAAAGAUUACAUGAAAUGCCAUUAAAAAAGUACAGCACUGACUCGGAGCAGAGGGAGCAGGGUGCGGCGGAACAGGAAGCCCGUAACACACCAUCGAUAAAAAGCAGCAACAACAACAGACACAAAUUUAUGUAUUUAUGUGUGUAUGUAUGUACUUGCAGCAAUUAGGUGCGCGAGCGACAUUAUUCCCAGUUUCGCCCGAUUCGUGCGCCAGUAGGAAGAGCAACAGCAACAGCAACAACAAGAGCAAUUUUAACAACAACGGAGAGGAGCGCGACGCAGAAGCUGAAAAUUACGAAUUACCAACGAGCAAACCAGUCAAACACAAGUCAGCAACACGAACAACAACCACAACAACAGCGACAACAAGAACAACAGGCGAAUCAAAUAUGUAUAACAGCAGCACUGAAUAAGUGUAUAUAGACAACAGUAAACGCCGACUGCACAGUUGACCGCAACGUCGCCGCUAUCAAAACGAACGAUGGCAACGAAGGCACUAAAGGCGACGACGACGCAACGACAAGGUAGAAAAUUGAACUUUCCAUUUGGUCUGCUAGCGACGACAGCGGCAUUGAGAACUGAAACUUUUGUGCGAUCAUACCGCAUCGCGGCUGCGACGACGAACCGGAGCGCCGAAAAUGACAGUACAUUUUGGGUAAAAAAGUGUUUAAUAAUAAUAAUACUACAAUUAAUAAAAACAACAAUACUCAAAAUAAACAGUUUCAAAAUGUGGAGUGAAACAGUUUUUCUAUUGGAAAUGGUAUUUUUUACGGAACUGUGUGUGACCUUUUCAAGUACUGCGCAUUUAUUCUGUGAAAGUUGCAGAGAAAUCACGCGAAACAUUUGAAAUGCUGUGAGUACAUGUAAUAAAAACUCGAGAAUAUAAGCAACAUGCUUUGAAUUUUUUUUUUAAUAUUGUGUUUUAAGCCUGUGUGAUAAUUAACAAUGCCGUUAUAAAGCAAAAAUUGAUCUUUAUAAUAUCUAAAAAAUCAAAUAUUGACAUCCGAAAAGAUAAAAAUAAAAAUAACAUUAACACAAAUUUGUAAAAAUUACAAUUUGUUGACAAUAUUAACAUUUGUUGUUGUGGCCGUGUAAAUAUGAAAUUUUAACAAACAAAAAAUGAGUUAUUAAUACACAAAGAUACAAAACUUGCAAAGCAGCAAGCAAAUCGAAUGAAACACAGUGGACAGAUAUUCCUUGCAAAGCGCACAACCCUUGGCAGCAAGCUCCACCACGACGGGUGCAAAGCUUUUGUGGUGUGAUGCGCGUUAGCAGCAACAACAACGCCAUUAGUGGCAACACGCAAAAUCCAAGCAGUUUACGUUGAAACGACGCUCAGCGAAAUUAAAUUAGACAACGAAAAAUACAUCAACAAUUUAAAGGAGAAACUGUAAAACUGUACAUAUGUAUGUAUGGGAAGAUGGCAAUAAUGGAGGCACAAAUAUUAAAUGAAAUUGCAGAGAAAAGGCGUGAAUGGAAAACCGAACUUGGGUGGCAUAUGAAUGACGGCAACAAAACUUAAGGAAAUGUGAACGUCGGCGCUGGCAGAAGGGUAGCGCUGCUGAGCGCAAACUGCGCGACGAAAACAACAGAGGUGUUAGCGAAAAUGUCAGCAGCGUCAGGGCGAAUGCGAAGGGAUGGCGGAAGCAAUUAUUUGAACAGCCAUGCCAAUUGAGCACAUGCGCUCACUUUCACUUGCGCUCUCUAUCUCUCUUUCGACUAACUACGUGCGCUACAAACACAAAGAAUGCAAGCACGCACACAAGUAGAAGAUGCACUCAUAUGGAAUAUAUUUGUUUCGUCGUUGCAUUCGCCAUGAACCGACAGUUUGAAAGUGAAUUGAGUGCAGCGUUGACUUAACGCGAGCGGGGUGGUUGCUGCACACUGCCGCGCUCUUCGAAAGCAAAUUAGAAUGCAAGAACAACAACUGCAUGCAUUUACAUAUAUACCUGCAUAUCUAGUAUAUAUAAAAAUAUAUAUUGCUGGUAUAUAGCGCGAAUAUAAGGAAAAUAAUGUGUGCGUAUAGUUGAAAACAAAUAUGGCGGACAUGCGCAAUUGCAUUCAACUUGAACUUGAAAUUUCAUUAUUUGCCAACGAUUGCAGCUGCAGCCAGCCACCACAGCUAUACAGACAGCUACAACAGCAACAGAAAACGAAAAUGAAAACGAACCCGAAACAGACGUCCAUGCAAUCCCAACGUCCGCACUACACUACACUCGGCCAAGGAGCCCAUAGGACACGGGUCCACAUACAUACAUGCAUACCCACAUAUGUAUAUAUAGAAAACAGGAGCACAAGGACACAGGAGAUUGCAUAACACAACGCCAGUGAAUCGGAAUAGUCGAAUUUGUGCGAUUGCAUCAGCAGCUGCCGGAAUACACGGCUCCCGAACUGCUGCUUUUUGGGACUUUCGCAGCAGGUAUGUAUUGAUUUGGCAAAUAUUUUGUGUGUAAUAAGCGUAAAGUGUGUAAAGGUCAAAGGUUGAAAAACGUGCAAAAGCAUUGUGUUCUUUUCUCAUUAAUGUGAAGAAAUGUCGAUUGUAGCGUGCCGCGAACACAAUUGUUGACCGUACUUGUAAUUUUUUAACGUCGAAAAAAGCUUGCGAUAUAGGAAAACAACAAAACUACAUAUAAAUUUCACUUUUCAAAACUUUAUUACGGUAGCGCACAAAGAGUGUAGCAAUAAGAAAGCACGAAAGCAGGCGGAAGAGGAAGUGCAAAUAGCGGAGAGUGCAGUGGGAUGCACACACACAACCAUUGUAAAUAAAAAUUGUUUGCUCUGAGCGUGGAAGCUCUCGCUUUUGUGCACACCCACAGAAAUAUAUUAUAUUAUCUAUACGAGUAUAUGUCAAUAAGCAUUUGCGAGCGCAAUUAAUUUUGCCUACUCAAAAGCUUUCAUCACUUAAGCUUUUAGCCGGCAUGUUUUCCCAGCUGUGCUUUUGCUCAAAUUCCAGCUUUUAUCCACUUUCGUACGCUUUGGCGUGGGAAACAACAUUUUCCCCUUUUUCGCUGUGUGGGUGGGCGCGUCAACGUACGUAUGUGUGUGCAUGUGGUAAGCUCCUAUUUGUAGGCUAUACUAUACUCCCAUACACUUAGGCAGCAUCAAAAUUACCCCGAUAAGAGCGCUUCCCACUUUGACGCUGCAUAACUACAGGAAAAUGCGCCCAAUUUAUUCGAUAUUCGUCACAUAUGUUGAUGUGCUCAACGCAGCUUGUGCCUGAAAAGUAUGAAGAAGUAAAUAUGAAAUUUAAACUUAAUUAAAAAAAGUUGAAAAAUUGAUUUGAAAAAGUGGAAAUGAAAGUAAAUAAAAUUAUAUAUAUGAUUUCUGGAAUAUUUAAUAAAUAUAAAGCAUAUUUGACCUUUGCCCUUUACUAUAAUUAGAAGUGAACUUUAUUUUCGACAAUUUGGCUUGUAACGCUUUAAAAUCUAUAAAUAAAAGUGUCACACCAGCGUCGAAAAGGAACGCUAUUAAUAUAGAAAUAUAUAUAAAAAUAUACAUAUAUAUGUGUCAGUUAAAGAUGUGUGCGUGUUUUAGAUUCCUUACCACAAAAAAUGCGAUUUUGUCGAAGUUCGUGUGCUUGAAUGAAUAAUAAACUUAAGAAGAUUAAUUGCUUAAAAUAAUUGAGUUGUUGGAAAUCAAAAAAAAAAAAAAAUACCUUAUUAAAAAUAAAAAAACGACGAGAAAAGCUGUCCAUACGGUAUGCUAAAUCAAGUGACGUCUAACAUUGAUUUCUACAAUGUGUACGAUUAGAAUAACGCUGACGUCGAUGCAGCAACAACAAGUUGCUGUUAUGUCAUGUUUGUGUGUGUGGGUGUUGCUGCAGCAAGGACAAGAAAAAUACCUAACGGGAUACUAAUAGAAAAAUUGCACUAAAAAUUUGAGGCAAGGUAUUUCAAGUAUAGCUAUAAAAAAUAUUUCUAAAAUGACGACCAAACCUCCAAAAACUGGAAUAAACUACUCAAAGGAAAUGAAUACCUACAAGAGGAUAUCACAGCAUUUGGAUUGUGUGGAAGCAAUCGAUAAAAAAAAAUCUUAAUUAAUACAAAAUAGUAAUUAUUAUAUAAAAAAAUGUAUACUGAAAUUAAUCGAUAGCAACUGGUUUUUAAAAUUAUCAAUGUAAAUCGAUAUACAUAGUUGUUCUGUAAUUAAUCGAUAACAAUUGAUACAUAAAACUGUCGGUAUAAGUAAUCGUUUCCGUAAUUAACUGCUAGAAACUAUUUACAAAACUAUCGAUUAUUAUGCUAAAUUAUCUAGCAAUAAAACGGUAAUUAUGGUAAACACUUUAUCAUUCUCCGAACUGUGCACCCGACUUUGUAAGUUGAUUUGAAUUAUGGAUUACACUUUGAGCUUUUCACUGGCACUUUUAAUUUUUUCUUCAAAGAAAAUAACAAUACUUUAAUGAAAUAAAAUACAUGACCAUAUUGAAAACGAAAUAUGCAAUUUCAUAAAUCUACGAUAAAAAGCUAGAUUUUAAUUCGUAAAUUUUAUUUUUUAACUAGCAAUUGUUUCAAAGAUGCCUUCUAAGGCUCCAUAGGCACAUACAAAACAUCCAAAAGUACAAGUAUAUAUAUAUAUAAAUGAUCAGCAUGGUGGGCUAAGUGGAUGUACCCAUUUCCGUCUGUCCAUCUCUAUAUAUACGAACUACUAGUUUGAUGAGAUAUCUCCACGAAAUUAGCAAUAGAUUAUUACCUUAAGUAUCGCUACAAUCCGAAAAUGUUGUUCUGAUCAGACCACUUUGAUAUAUAGCUGCCAAAUACACCAACCGAUCAAAAUCAAGAUAAAGAUUUUUUUAAUAUUAUUUUAUAAGUCAUACAAGUCACAUUUUCAUAUCGGAAAUACUCUCAUAGUUCAAAUUUGUUCCACAAAGACUAAAAUGCUGAACUUACGAGUAGAAGUUACAUAUUUCACAAUAGCGAUGUACUUGCUUAUAUACCAUUAUCUGAUAUGAGCUCUUAAAGUGGUUCGUAAAUCCAGGGCAACUCUCCCCGCGUAAUGAACCAUAAUUCAUAUUUCGCUUGCGAAAAGCAGAAUAAAUGACGCAGUAUGAUAAAUAUUUUUUUUUUUCUGAAUCCAACUAUAAUUAUAUAGGAUUGCUCAUAAAUUAAUAGUGAAUAGAAGAAAAGAAGAGUCGGAACUACUUUGUCACUAUUUAAAUUCACUCAAUAAAAUCUCAUUUAAAUCGCAUGCUCAUGUGAUACUCUGAGUGAUUUAUGUGGACGAGCAAACGAAGCCGAAUUCAGUUCGAAAUGAGCGUCGAGCCGAAAAAAAAGCUCGCUCAACCACUUUACUUAUAAGAAGCACAGUCUUCUGUUUUGGUUUUUGUCAUGGCUAAAGCACACACCCACACAAACACACCUAUACAAGCGUGCACACAAAGAUGAUUAAAAUAUAAUUGAAGGGAAGUGACGACAAGCUAAACUUUCGCUUGAGUUGUUACAAGGCGCACCCACACACACAUAAUAGUGGCAGAAGUACGCGCGUAAAGAAGCUCCACGCUUAAGGGAAAGUGUUGUGAAAUAAAAACUAUACUGAAAAAAAAAUAAAAAAUAAAAAAUGAAUCGUAUGCAUCUACUGCCGGGAUACACCCUGUGCUCGCUUCGUAAAUGUUCGUAACCGAGUCAGUGAACACAGCUGGUGGUAUCUCAGUGGUGGUUGCAUGUGUGUCAACGACGAGCGGCGGCAAUGAAUUAUUAAAAUAUUUGUUUUUGUUAACAAACAUAUAUGCAUUUAUAUCAAGGGCAGCAGCAACAACAACACCACUACUCACAUAGCACGCACAUACAUACAUAUACAUAUGCUGUAUGUGUGUAUCCUGCUGAGCUAUUGUGCACCUGCAGGUGAGUACACGCCACGCAUUUUCGCUUAUCAUUUUCGUAUAAAGUAAUUUUAUUUUAUUACACAUACUUAUUUUAUAUAUUAAGUAUAAACACAUUAACAUAUUUUCCGAAUAUACGUAUAGAAUAAGCUGCAGAAAUUUUUGUUUUUGGUUUUGUCUAAAUUUUAAGUAUGCGUUUUUCUUAGUACAACUACAUUUAAUUAAUUUCAUGCGAAAAUAUAAGAAUUAUUUCAAAAAAUUUAAAAAAAAAAAUUGGAAAAUAAGAAAAUUUUUUUUAGAAAUUAAAAUUCUAAACAAAAAAAAUGUAAACAAAUUAAAUGAAGUUAAAGCAAAAUUAAUUUUAGAAUUUGUAGUUUUUUUUUUAAUUUUAAAAUUAACUUUUUUUUUAAUAAAAAGAAACGAAAGUCUAAAAAUUCAAUUAGUGAAUUUAAAAACUGCAUAUUUUCAACAUAACUUGUACUUGUUCGAUAUUCUUUUCAGUUUCGUUCGAUUCAUAGCGUUUCAGCGUGUUGCAUCUAACUGCUACUGCAACUAUGAAAAAUUAAAAAAAUUUAAAUUGUUCAAAUCAAUUAAAUUUAUAUAAGUAUAUACAUAUAUUAUAUAUAUUUAUUGUUGAAGUACGAAAUCAAUUCAUUAUCAAUUAGCGCCUAAGUUCACACGCCGCCUACAACAUUGGAUAAUUGCUCUUGUACUCAUUACCGUACUCGACUCGAAGAUCAUUCAUCAUUCACUUGUAGGUAUAACUUGGCGCAUGUGCGUUGCUUUGUGUGUGUCUGUAUAUUCAGUAGAUGUGACAUUUAUGCACUUAUGUAAUUGUCAAUGCCAUUUAGUUGAAUUCAAUUCGUUUUACUUCGAUUCGAUUCACUUAAGUAGAUUAAAUUGGCAUCUAUUUGACAUGCCCGCAGCGCUUAAGUAGAAUGUUCUCUUCGGAAUUCGUUUGUAUGUGUGUAUUUUUGAUUUGGUUCGAUGCAUAUGGAACAUAAAUUUUUUUUAGUUAUGUGUAUAUGUACGUGAGUGAAAUAUGAAUAUGAAAAUGUUUCAACCAGACACUGAAAUCGAAAUAAAGUCUUUUCUAAUUUUAAUCAUUACCUUUUUUGAAAUACUUGCUGUAGAAAUAAGACCAAAUCGUCUACAUACUAUGCAGCUAAUUUUUGAGCAAAAUUUCCAGCAAUACAUAGUUACCAAUUUUACUUCUCUUUGUGUAUUUUUUAUCCGCUGAAUUUCACACAAACUUAUCAAAUAAAAGGAAUUGCCUUACUACUUCAGACAACUAAAUGGCCAAAAGCACUAAUCCCAUUGUCAGUUUGAAAGCAGGAAAUCUGUAUUCAAAAGUUUUAAGCAGACUAGUUUUUUCGACAGUUUUUCGAAAAGAAUUUUUAAACCAAACUACUCUCGCUAUAGCUUACAGAGAAGCUUCUUUUUUCAUUUACGUGAGGUUUUGAAAUUUUUUCUUGCAUGAGUUUUUGUUUCAAAAUAAUGUUAUAGAUGGUCUCGUAACCUGUAAUAAUAUUCCCCUCUGAAUUUUAUUUUAGACUGUUAAUCCGAAAAAGUCACACUCUGAAUAAAUCUUGGUAACUCUUCCAUUGUAAUAUCAAGUGUAAGGGGAAUUUCUUUAUAAAACAUAAAUCAUUUAUUUUCCCCUUUUUCCAGUCCUCAUAACAGUCGGAUUAGUCUUUUUCAAAACGGAAUUCCCGCAUUAGAAUUUUCAGUUUUCUGAAGAGCCAGAAGUCGCACAGAGCCAAAUCAGGCGAUUGCGGAACGCAGUAUGACAUGGCUGUUUGUCACCAAUUGAGACUUGACGCGUUUGAGACAAAAAACAUGACAUACACAGAAUAGUUUGGGCUGAGCCAAAUGAUUUUCCAACACUAACGGCGAAAUCUCUAAUUGUCAAUAGAGGAUUUUCAAGCACCAAAUCUGUGAUUUAUUGUUCUCGACAUCUAGGUCUGAAAAUUUUCUUAGCGUUCAAAUUUUAACCAUGUUUUUCCAACAAAGCCGAUCAGCAUAAAUCAUUGACUUAUAGAUCAUUUAUUAAAAAAAGUCGAUUCAUAUGUUUUAGGUGGCCAAUACGAAGUCCCAUUUCUUAAUAUAAUUUAUUCACCAAAAUAAAAUAAUUCUCGAUAAGAUGAUGCUUUCACGCACUAUAACGCUUUUCUGGUGGAACAUUUUACAGUUUGGCUAUGGGAAAGAAAAAAGUAACAAAUUGUUUACCUGUACCACUUUACCACAGUCAGUAACGGUGAAUGUCUACCAGAUACGCCUUGUUCCUUUUAUUUACUAAGCAUAAAUGUCAAACACAUGUUGUUACAGGUUGACAGCUGAUUUAACAGCUAUCACUCGAAGAAAUUUUAAAUUUGUAAUAGUUGAAUUCAAUGGGUUAUAUUCACUUGAUAGUCAAAAAACACAGACUUUUCUUGAUUUUUUUAUGAAAAGAUAUUAUUUUAUAAGUAAUUCAAAAAUAUGUAAAUUUAAAAAACUUAAUGUACUUCAAUAAGCGGCAAAUCAUUUUAAAAUAUUCACUAAAAUUAUUUUAACUCCAAAAGAGCUUCAAAAAUCGAAAUUCCUAUAUAUAUAUUUUUUUUUUUAAGUUAAGCAACCGUUUCGGAGAAAUUUUCCGCACUCACACCAGCCACCUACCUUAAUAGUUUUGUGAGCCAAUUUCACUAAAUUAAAAUAUUCUUACAAAUACUAAGCUCAUAUCUCGAAAUUUAAAUACGAUGGUGUACUGACGUUCGGUCUGCCGACUUGCGUACUCCAUUUCGCUAACAAAGUAGAUUUUAUUUAACCCUAUGAUAGUAAAAGAGAUAAUUAUACAGUUCAACUACUCGCCAGAUAUUUUUUUUUUGAGUACGCAAAGCUGAACUAAGCACGAACACAUUCUGUGUACUGAGAUAACAUAAUUUAUAUUAGAUAUGUAUUACAUAAAUUAUUAUUGAUACAAUAUUAUUUACAUAUAUUAAAAUUACUCUAUGAGCCGUAAACAUACCGAUCGCUAGCUACUCUUUUAGUCUUUAGUACCAUAUAACAUAUAUAAAUUGAUGCUUAAUUUAAAAUAAAAAAUAAGUCCAGAAUUCUAAAAAUUGUGAGCUUCCUUAUUGUUCCUUAUUGUGAGCUCAUGAUAGAGCGGGUAAGCAGAAAAACUUUUUCCAUUCACAAUUUACUCGAAUAUAUAUUACAUAUAUGUAAAUGCUCAAUAUUUUGUUUUAGUAUCUACUUAUAUCAGCUUAGUAUUGGAGUUAAAAAGAAGUACAGUUUAUAUUUUCUGCUGACUAAAGUCUUAUAAUAUGCUGUUUGAGACUAAAGCGGAGGAAUAAUGGCCUUAAGAAUUUCACCACGUGGACAUCCAUGUGUAUGUAUAUAUUCGAAAGCUUUACAUUCUUUAGCCUAAAUUGAUCUGACCUUAAGGCAGCGAAAAAAAUAACUUUUAAGUUAAUAAAGUAAUAGAAAACGUUGGCGCCGUACCCAUUAUUUAAUAAUUGCAUAUACCUACAUAUGUGUAAAUUUAAUACACUUAUUAUUUUACCCAUAACGGCCCAAAUAACUGAACUCGUCGAAAUAGCGUUUUCUACGCCAGCAUGCAACAUUUAACGCUGCAACGAUUAAUGCGCUCCAAAAGCAAAAUUCCACUUGCUCAUAAAUUCAACAAUUGAAAUCCAUGUGAAUGCAUUAAAAUGCACAAACACAUGCCAUUAUAUUAUUUAUGUACUUACGUAUAUAUGUAUUUACAACGUAUUUAAUGUGUGUCGAACAAAUACUUCGCUGCUGAUAAUAAAAACGCUUUACAAUUAUGAAAGUUGAGGAAAGACGACCGGAAAAAAACUAAAAGAGCACAAGUAAGGUGGGGCUAAGUGCGAGCCUAAGGCAAUUUUAUGAAUUCUAUACUACCAUUGAAGUACUGUUUUUUGAAAUUAUUUAAAAUUUCCGUGCUUUUAAUUUUUAAAUUUUGAAAAUAAAGCUGAUUACGAGAUAUAUAUAUUACAUAUGCGAUCAUACGCAACAUUCGCGUCAUAAUGUUGCAUAAUAUAAAUAAACUUUUCAAUAUAUUAAUGGUUCUUUUCAAAAAUUUGAUGUAUCAUACCAUACCAAAGAAAAAAGAUAUUUCUCCGUUUUUCGAAGUUAACCUUCGAAGUUAACAUUUGCCAUCGAAGUUCAGAAUUUGGGUUAUUGAAAAACAUCAACAUUAAUUAUGAUAAGUUUUUACAAAACAAAAUGAAAAUGUGGGCAGAUUUAGAUUUUUCUACUUAUUUCAAUAGUGUAAAGCAAUUUUCUGGUAAAGCUUUUAUGUGACGGUUACAUACUAUAUGGGAUCGGUUAAUUCUUCGAAGGAAAAUAAAUAUUUUUAAUUUUUAAACUACUGUCACAAUUUAGACCAUUUACAUUCGUUUGAUAAGCUUGUGUAAAUGUUACACACUACUAAAAUGAGAUAGAUACAUGAAUGAUAUUAAUAUUUUUAAAUUUACUGACAACGCAAGGUAAAUGGAAAACAAUUGUAACAAACAAUAGUAUAUAGAUAUUUAUAUUUGCUUAAAUACUAGCAAAAGCGGGUAAGAAUACAUAUAUAGUGGAUGUAAAAAACUUAAUAAAUAUAUAUACUAAGAAUGUACAAUAUAUAUUAGUAUAUAUUAUAUGUAUAUAUGUAUAUAGGAGUACACUUGUUACAACACUUUUAACAUGCUUUUACCAUAUGCUAUCAAUAAUUGUUUUUGCAAUCACCAAAACACAACUAACAAUUACUCUUAGUAUCUACGAGAUAAAUUCGAACACAUGCGCUACUUAUACAAAUGUAUAUACUUGUAUGGUAUAGAUAUACAGCUAUUUUGAUAAAAUUUUGUUGGCAACGAUAAAUAGUAUUUCAGUUGUGUAUAUUCACUAUUUAUUGGCUCUUCGUCAAUUCGCCCAAGCAUGCGAUUGUUUGCAGCUUCCAAUUGACAUUGUCACACGAGCGUUCAUUGAAACCGCUUGCCCCCGCCUAACCAUAUUAGAUUAUAAAUGCAAUGAAAAUGCACCCUCUCUUACUGUUGACAUUAUCUGUCAACGUUGUCAGUUUGACAUUAACUUGUUCCCACAUUUCCACUGCCUUUGCGUAUGUGUCGAAUUUCCAUUUUCUUUCUCAUACAUUGUACUAUACAAGUAUGUGCAAAAUUAAUCGUUCAGUUUUUAUAACAGCUGCAUGCAAAAUCUAAUAAUAAUACAACUUUGAACAUGCGUUCUGUGGUACCCUGAAAAGGUUAAUUAAUGUUUCAUCUUAUUUUACAACUUUUGAGAUAUGACUACGAAUAUAUCGUAUUUAAGCAUUCUAUUUCUAACCAAGACCUACUCAUUUUCACCUCUGUUAGAAAAUAGUUCUGUGUGGCUUUACGUUAUGUUGUGAUUUCCAAGAAAAUUUGAUGUUUCAACAAAAUAGUUAAUCUCACACAUAUUCUAUGCAAGACCGAACUUCUCUUGUCGCCUCUCAUAGAAAUCAAUAUAGAAUCCUGUAGAAAUCUUUUGACUUCUGAAACCAUCUGUUCUUGAGUUUCAAAUGAAUGCACCUGUUUCGAAGAUCUACAAAUUUUGUUCACUUCAGAUACAGAUUCUAUUAGACAGUUAGUCAGAGAGAUAUACAUUUUUAGAAUCGUUAAAAAUUUUUUCCAGAAUUGUGCUUAGUGAAUAUUCUUGCGCAAUAACUAUCGAAAAAUACCUAUUUGUAAUACGCUCUUAACUAUUUAGGAAUGCCUUGAGACUCGUAUCGAUGUUAUUUUAUAUAGAUGUUUACGACACAACAACCACCCACACAGUGCCCCAAUAAUGCUCUUAUAUUAUAUAUAUACGAGCAUAUGCUCAGACUAAACAUUCCGAAACCUAGCAUUAGCGGUAUUUCAUAAGUAAGGGUGCCUUUUGCUAUAAAUAAAACGGAAACAGUUAAGCACUAUUUGGUCAUUUGCUUAAAAACUAUUGCAUAGUAUUAUUUUUUACCAAAAUAUCUUCGUAUACAAUCUCUUUGUGAUUCAAAUUCAGAUUAUCUCUGUUAACAUUUGCUGUCUAUUAGUUAAAAAUAAAUAAAUCAAGUCAAGGGGUCAAGGAUGCCAGCACAGCUAGUAAGUAUGCAAGUGUAUGCUUAUGUAAUAAAUACUUUCGGCUUAUCGGCGAUAUUGUGUCACCACUGCGGGCCAUUUCACCUUCAGCCACUUUUGGCAAACACAGAAACUUUUGGCAAACUCUGCAUCAAAUACAAAGAACUCACUUAUGUAUGUAUGUGCCAUGUGCAUUCUAUGCAUACAAGUAAUCUGGGUGUCUUCACUUGGUAUAUGUUGGUAUUUUUUAUGGCGACCUUCAUAGAUCCUUAAUGCACAAAACUAAAAGUAAAUGUCCUACUUAGUUUAAUUUUAAAAAAGUUCGAAGGUCGUUAGAGCGAAAAUAAACGUUUCGAAGCAUACAAGUUGUACACAGUUGGAGUGCAUAGAAAUAAUAAAAAACGAAACUAAAAUAAUUAGAAAGAAAAACAAAUUUCUAGAAAGAAUGUACGGAAAAUGUAGUUCAAACUUUGGUUGACUUUAAUAUAAUUAUGAUCACUUUUCACUUCUUAUCUUAAUAGAUUUUUAUAAACUAUUUUGAUAUGAAAUAUUUAACACAAGUCUGUAAGUAGUCAACAUCAUUCAUAAUUUUUCCUAGAGAUUUGCUAAUAGUAUUUUUUAUUUUUUUGAAAUAAUACCCAGGCUUAUAAUAAAUUUAUUAAAAAUCGUCUCUAAAUUCUCACAAUUUUGUCCUUUCAAACACACAAAUAUAUAUAUUUGUUUUUUUCCCUGUAUAUGUAUAUCCGUCCGUACCUGGGUCCGGAAAUCAGGAAGGUUUCAUCUUAAAUGAACUUCCACACGAUUGUGUAGCGAUUGUGGAAAUAGCGUAAAGUAAACAAAUUUACACUCUAUCUUCUAUAAAACUCUAUAUACACCGAUUCCCGAGACUUCACCAGCAUCAAUAUCAUUUUUAGGGAAAUAUAAUGUAAGGAGUCGUGAAUGUUGAAGCAGAUUGAUGUUCCAUUAUAUUCAUGUAUGGGGAAGACUAAGCAGAAAUUGUCUAAUAUUUCUCGAAGUCAAAGUGCUUUAAAAGUUCAAAUGUGAAGAUUCUACGGUAAUAUAAUAUUACAGCUACUCCGUCACCACUGGCAAUAUUUAUUGUCUAUCAUUUGCCAUUUUAUUGCCACAUAAAAAAUAUCUCGUUUGAAUUGAGGAAAGUUUUCUCUGUAGAACACCUCUCCAAAAAGAAAUUCUGGAUCCGCUACUGAGUAAUAUGCUGUAUCCAUCACUAAUAUUAACACUGAUACUACUAACGGAACAAAAGUUGUGAUCUUUAAAGACAUAAAGCAAAGCUCAGAGUUCUGUGUAAGUUAUUAUUGUCUAACUUGUUAACUUCUUUCAAGCUAAGCUAAAUCAUUUGAACUUUAUUUUUGACUAUUGUCAACGUACAAUACAUAUCAGCACACAUUACUUCGCCAUUAAAAUUUACUCCCGUCAUUUGUCCUUCAAACCUUAAUUUAUAUUUGAUCGAUUAAGCAGAACCUUCAAUCGCUCAAUUCUUCAACGUUUAGAAACUAUCAAAAUGCAUGAAAUGCAUUGUUUUCAAUUAUCUCACGAACUGCCGAGUGCCCUAAAAAUUAUUGACAUUCCACAUAUCAGCGCGCAGCAAAGUUUUGCAAAGAAUGACAUUGAGCGGCAAGGCUUUCAUGGGUGAAGGUUGCAUUUCUGUUGUUGUAAGCUGCUGAUUAAGCUGCCAGUGCUGCCAGCUGCUACGUCCCCCACCCCCAUCUCUACUGUGUAACACAUUCAUUUAUGCAGCUUUUGGCCGACUUUGCUAUGUUGACAAGUCGACGCGUGGGCCCCUACCAGUACACUAUAUACUCAAAUGCAUACAUACAUACAAGGGAGGAAAGGGUCAAAGCUGCAAAGGGUUGUCAACGAAAUGCGUUGCCGUUCAUAUUAGCUCAUAUAAUGGUUGUUGGUAUUGAUUAUAUGCAGCUCGCCAAAUGAUCGCUAUACAAUGUAAAUUUUUGUGUUCACAAUCGAUAUUCUCACAUUUGUUGUAAAUAUGCCACGUUGGUUCAAAACGCUUACUGUGACACUAACAUACAUACCUUGCGUUCUUUUCUACUUAGUUGCGUUCCUUUCUCACAUUUAUAUUGUCUUUUUUUAUUAUUAUUUGCCUAACGAACUCUCUCCCACACUCUCCCUCUCUCUCUUUCUAUCUCUCUCUUCCACACGCUGCACAAACUAAUGCAUCACCUUGAAAAAAAUUCUACACCGAAAUUGUGCAUUUUUGUUGCUUCCGAGUGACAGCGGACGCGACACGCGAGAUGCAAUGAAAGCUUGACAUAUGGAGAGAGCGGGAUGCAAACUGUGAUUAUGAACAUUUAUAUAAAAUAUUGUAUAAAUAACGCCUGUCACUAGCGCAGCAAAUACAUUUAGACGAAACUUUAUUAAUGUGCUUUAAAUAACUGAAAAAAAGCGCGAUUUAGCAUAUCAAUAUAAAGCUUUAUUAUGAGCGUACACAUACACUAACGCACUUAGCUUUAUUGGAAAAAUACUUCCUGCUCUGUUAAUAAAAGAAAUAAUAAUAAUAACAAACAGCAACAACUGUCUCUUGUCAUCAUCGUUUAAAACAGCUGAUGAGUCGCGCUGCCACUGCAACUGCACUGAGAGCGGCGCCCGUCAACUGCAUAUAUAAGAGAGUAAACCGCACACACUUGCAUAUUCAAAUAUUCAUGUAGUUGCGCUUGAUGCGUAAAGCUCGCUGAAAGCUCUAGUCUUCAUGUUCUGCUAACUAAUUCACAUGACGGACGAUAGCGCGAGAGCGCUUGAACGCCAGAGAGUGUACGCUUGAGCUUUUACAUACAGCAACUAGUGGGCUCACAAGCGUGCAGCGCGCUCGCCAACUUAGUCGUUGCAGCCCAAGCUGGACGGUGGCCUUUGCUGUUUAAAGUUUUGAGUCGCGCAACGUUAGUGGUCGAGAGUGGUGGCAAGUUGAAGCGCCGCUGCAGUUACGUGUUGUAAUUUUGACGUAAGCGAAAAGCAAAGCAAUAACAACUGCAGUGAUUUGGUAUUACACAGAGUGGCGCAGUGUGUCAGCAGCGAGUAAAUUUCUGCUCGCGCUGAAAGCUUGUAUUAGUACAAACGCUCAGAUUUUUAUUCGUUUUUGUUGCUUCUGCAUUGGCGCUGCAAUACCGUUGGGGAUAGAGCGCUUGCAACAUUGCCACAGUGCGCUUAGUAUAUUUCACCUUAGACGUCUUUGGCGCUGACGCAGUCCGGCACUGAGCCAACACUACAGAGCGCGCUAACAAACAAAAAAAACAACACCAUUGCUGCGCCACACAGCCAUUGCCACAUUGUGACACCGUUGUCACAUUUCUAGCAAAUUGCAUGCCUGUAGUUGUGCUGUUGUUGUUGAUUUGCUCUUGCUCGUGGCGCACUCGUUUGUCGCGGUCGUCUGUAUCUACGUACGUACGCUUAUAGUCUUCGUGCAUCGCCUGCCAUCAGACGAAGAGGCGGCCGCUCGCUAGCCUUUAGCAGUCAUUGACGAAUAAGCGGUCAGAUGGGUGGUUGUGAUCCGUUUGUGGCGGUUGGGCAAGUGUUUGCGCCCAUUCAUUUACAAGAGUCAAGCGAGCGCGUUUCAGUGUCCGUUUGUAAACAGUUAUUUUGUGUAUUGUAUGUUUGUCUGUGCGAACGUACGCAAGGUGGCCGAGUAAAACAAAAAACGAACGCAUUAACAUGACAGUGAAGGUCAACAAUGUACGUAAAGCAACGCGUUUGCGGACAGCGCUGCGCUUUCGGCCAAGGCAAUAUUGCAAGCGCUGUAACACAAAACCAACAAUACAACAAUAGCAAGCAAUAAAUGAGUGUCCUUAAAGCUGGAUAAUAACUACAAUAAUGCUGAAAAACCAAAAAUGUAAUAAGAAAAUCGUGUCUCGUCGCGUCGUGUACUCGUUAAAGUCUGUUCAAAACCCCGAAAAUAAAAAUAUCGGCUAAAUUUGUACGUUUUACCAAAAAGGCUAGAGGGAAUUGCAGCGUUAUGCUUCUUUUUCACAUGGUGGUUUUGUUGUUGUUGUUGCGCUACACGCACACGAACGCCAUCGCGUACCUAGAAAAGUUAACGAAAGCCAACGACAGCAACAACGCGUUGGGGGCGACGGCGACGGACAACCACGAAGCAGUGAAGAAGCAGCCAUGGCCGCUGAAGCAAUUCGAAAAGCGUACAGCGCGCAAGAAAGCAGAAAGUAGCAGCGGCAGCAGCUGUAGCGGCACGCGAUUGCACUUUCCUCGAGUCAGUCGAUUGUCAGUGUUGAUUUAUACGCCGACUCAACAGCAGCAAUAGCAGCACCAGCACCAGUCGCAGCCAGUACAAGUGACAGGGCAAGCAUAUAAGCAGGCAUUUAAGCAAAGAGUCAAAGCUAAAGAAUUCGAAAAUCAUAAGCAUUCAUCAGCAUUUAGCCACUGUGUUAGUUGUUUUAUUACAACACUUGCGGCGCUAAACGUUGUUCAUAUUAAUUGAUUGUUUGCGCUCGCAAUCAGUAAGCAAUAUUUAGCGAGCGCUUGAUCUACUAUGCAGUGUACAAUUUCGAUAAAAAAAAUGCAUAUAUUUUUUUUCAAAGUGUUACAAGUGUAUUUAAAUUUUAUCUUUUCAAUUUAAAAACUUCUUAUUUUGGAUUUCAAUCUGCGAGUUGCUCAAAUAUCACUUAUACGCCUAUGCAUAUCAGCUGUUGUUGAAUUCGAGACAGCUUGUGCCAUAUAACGUUGACUCGUGCAUGUAUGUGUUUGUGUGUGUGUGUAUUUAUCAUAUUUAUGAGUGUGUAUUUAUGACAAGCAUUUGUGUUAGUUUCGAACACGUGAUCGCUCGAAAGCGUCAAACAGAGCGUAAAAUACCCAUAAAGACUCAUAUUUACCAGCCUAUAAGUGUGUGGUUGUGCGUGCAUGUCUGUGUGAAAUGUAGCGUAGUGACUUCAUUAAUAAGAAAGUCAGCCCGCACGCAACUACUUUUCUAUUAAAUUUUAAUUAAUUGCUUAAAAUAUCGACUUUUCUACUUCUUUUGCCGUAUUUUUCGUGUGAGCUGUGAAAUUCUGUGGUUUUUCACACGCUAAAUCGCAACGUUUUUGUAUUACAGAGCUAUUAAUUGUUGUUGAUGCAGCGUUCAUAACAGAAGUGUAGAAAUAAUUUUAAACAGUUCUGUAUAAUUUAUUUAAUACUUAGUGAUCAAAAUGGAAUUUUCGGUAAAUUUUCGCCUGAAUUUUCGUGUGUGGUUAUUAGGUGAAAAACUAAUAAUUUCAACUUGCCAUAAAACCGCAAAAUGCAAAAAAAUUAUCACGAAAUUAUACUUAAAUUGUAGAAAAACACUUGUGAAAGCCAAUAUGGUGACAAAGUGGUUUUAGUUGAGCUUUUUUAACUAUUCUAUGAGAUUAACUGAUAUGCAAACAAUCUUUUUCAAUUUGGAACCUUAGAACAGAUUUUUCUCAAACUAAACACGGAUUUUUGAAGGCUUAAAGAAGCUUUUCGCUAAUUAACCGUUCUGAGAUAUAUUUUUUAUGUGAAAAUUUUAGAUUUUCUGUAGCUUUUUUGUUGUACAGAAAACUAUCAAAGUGGCAAAUGCCCUAAAUCAAAAAAAAAUAUUUGAGUUUCCUCAAAAAUAAAAAAUUGUUCUUUUCAAAGAAAAAUUUUAAAAAAUUGUACACCAAAAAUUUUUUUUUUCAUAUACAAUUUUUUUAACUUACAAAUAUUCUAAUACAAUCACAGUUUAUUUCAACUUUUCGUUCCCCAAAAAUAACUUUUUCCAUACCAUUUCAAGUAAAAUUUUCUCAUAAAUUUGCAACAAAAAAUCAUUUCAACUGAAUGUGAAACACAUUUACCAACUCAAUAUAAGUAGGUAUUUUCUCUACUUUUCCACUACUUGCAAGGCAUUUUGUGCGAUUAUGCAAUAGCACCGCGUUCACCUUAGCGUUGUAAGUUGUAUUUUCGUUGUUAUUCCCUACAUUUUGCGGCCGCUGUGUUUGUUGUGUUUAUUUUGGUUUUUACUUGGUUGUUGUUAUUGUCAGUGAUGUUAUUAUUACAAUUUCAAGCAUUGUUGGCACAAUUGCCAUGUGUUGGCACACACACGCCAAACAGCUUAGCCAAGUUGGCACACACACACACACGCGCAAGCAAAGAAAUGCAUUCGCUGCUCAUACACACACACACACGCAUGUAUACAAAAGCAUACGUGCAAAGCUAAAGACAAGUGUGUGUGUCGUGAAAUACUAAAAUAAAAUCUCGUUCACUAAUUAUUUUCUGCUUACAUGCUUCAGAGCGAUCUUUUUUCACAAACGAAUCGGAAAAAAAACGACUAGAAUGCAUGCCAGCUUAUUUUAAGCAGCUAAGCAAAACCCCAACAACAAAAAAUGCAAGUAAAGCCCGCUCUGCGAAAAGUGGCUGAGUAGUAGCUGAGAAGUGUAGCGAAAUAGCCGAAAAAUAAACAGGCGAAUGUAUAAUUAAGAAAGUAUAUGCGCAUACAGAGGCACUAACACAUAUACAUAUAUAAGUACAUUUGUUGAGGAAAAAAUAUAAAUUUAGCAAAAUGAAUUGCAGCCAGCAAAAAAGCGCUAUCGAUUCGUGUGGCUGCUUGUUGAAAUGCCAGCCACAAUGAUUGCUGCACUAAUGUUAAAACAAAAAACACAGAAACAAACAAAUGUAUAAGUUAGCUAACAAAAAACAGCAACCACAAGCGAUUUCUACACUUUACACAUGCUAACUAAUUUUCACAGCACAUAUGUGCUGGCCUUCUUCACAGUCGAUCACCAGCUGAGCGACAGGUGCAUACACAUACAUAUGUACUAUUACAUACUUACACAGUAUAUAGAUAAUAUAUAAAUGCACAGCCAUAUAUACUGGCAGCGUUUGAUGUGUUUUAUACAUUUGCUGUGUGAAAAGUGUGUCUUUGCUCCAUUGCAUUUGUGAAAUUCAACGAUGUUGUUAUUGUUGUUUUUAUUGUGUGUUAAAUCGCACUGCCGAAAUGAUUCGUUAUGAUUCACAUAAUUGCAUUCACACAAUUUGCUUGAUUAUUUACAUAAUGUGGAAUACAAAAUCUUUUGAUAUUUUUGUGCAUGUGUGUGUGUUUGUGUGCAAAUAUGAAGCGUGUAAGUCAAACAGUCUGCCGUAUUGCUGCAUUCGCUUUUUUGUAUUUUUUUUCUUAAUAGAAAUCAAAAGAUCUAAAAAACUAUUAUUUGCUUCUGUAGUUGGAAAAAUAUUUCUAUAGUAAUUUAUAGAUGGGAUUAGUAUGAAAAAAAAUUUUUUUUUCCAAUACGAAAAUAAUUGCUUUCAAAUGCUUAUCAAAUUACAUAACAAAAGAGAUAUUAUCCAGAGCAUGUUUGCAACUUAAAAAAUGUUAAGAAGCAAUUUUUGCACUACAUUUGGUCAAUUACAAACAAUAUUAUUGAUACAUUUUUGAAUUAACAAAAUUUUAAUUAAUAAAUAUUUAAAAAAAAUUUGCUAACGGCUUGUAAUACUCAAUAAAUAGAAAUAUAGCAGUUAAAUGCUAAAUAAAAAUAUUUAAAAUCUAUAAAAAUAUUGAAAUAAUAAAUUUAUGCUCUUUUUAAACAAAAGAUUUUUAAAAUUUAGAUUGCUAAAAUUUCAAUCAUUAAAUUUAUAUCCGAAAAAUUUAAGUAAUUUUAAAGAUUUUUAAUAUUAAAAACCCAAAAAGUAAAUAAAACAAAAACAAAUUUUGUCAAAAAAUGUUCAUCAAAUUCAAUGCAAAAACCAUCUAAAAAAUUAUAUAAAGCUUCAAAUGUAGAGUAUUAAAAUUUUUAAUAAUUAAUAUAAAAAUAAAUAUUAAUUAAAAAAUAACUGAUAUAUAAGAAAUAUUUGAAAAGAGAAUAACAAUUUCCAAAAAAAAAAAAAAAUUUGAUUUCCAAGUUAUUUAAUUUAAUGUGGGUUUUUGUAUUCCAGAUGUGUUCAGAACAGAAAAAUGAAACAAAAGUUGCACCAAAAAAUCGCAUUUUAGACAAUUUUGUUUUUAAUUUAUUCAUCAAAAUGGAGUUUUAUGUUAGUUACAGCGCGCCGAAAACUUAAAUGUAUAGACAUACAUAAAUUGCAGAAAACACAAGCUAUCUUUUUUUAAGUUUAUAACUUUUGUAUAAUGUAAGUAUAUAACAUUGUUGUUUAUUAACAUUUAGUUUCUUUUAUAACAUUAAAAACCUGGAAAAUAUUUUGGAAAUUUUUUUUCUAUUGGUAAUUUUUUUUUUCAAUUUUAAGUAUUUGUAAUCGGAUUUUGAGCAAACAAUUCAAGUUUAUAAAAUAUUUUUCCAAAAGUAACUCAUUCAACCAACUGACAAUUAUGAGUUUAGUCGCAAAUUUCGCCAUUACCAUAAAUGACUUGCCCUACUGCCCUCUCAUUAAAAGAAAAUUAAAUUUAAACUCACAUUUAUACUACCAAAAUGACUUAUAACAUUUUACAACAACUAAUUUCGCGUUUUCUCUAAUUAUUGUCAGUCUGAUUGAAGCAAUUAAAUCUCUACACAUUAGAGAAUUCCACUCAAUUAAUAUUCAAUUACCUCAGCUAACCUAAUACAACUGUAUAUGAGAUCAAGUAUUGUACCCCCAGUAACUGAGUUAUACAAUUCGCUAUGACUGCAUACAAUACAGUUUUAUUAUAUGAGCGCAAUGUUUUGUGGCAAAAAUAUGUACUUCCCCCGAUGAGGAGUGGAAAUCAAAGAUAAAAGUCAAUGGGAACACAAUAGCAGUGACUGAGUGUAUAGUUGCGUAAUAUGAAGGGUUUGUAGAGAUAUAUAAAUGUAUAGAAUAUAUUUAUACAUAUAUAUAUUUUUGUAAAAUAUGUAUACAUAUAUAUAUGUAUGUAUGUGUGUGUGUGUGUUUGCAAUAGAAACUGGCACAUCUAUGAUGGCAGCAGCAUUGUGAGCUUUUUUCUAUAGCUAAGUUAUGCAUUUAUACACAUAUAGACAUGUGUGCAUGCCUCAGUAAAGUGUGCAAACCCCAGAUUGUAUUGAUAGAUUACCAGAAAACACCAAAAUCACUCGCUAUAUGUGCCUAGGUAUAUAUGUUUAAGCAGUUAGCUAGAAAUGCAAUCUAAAAUGAAGUUAGUUAGGAAAUUCUCGAUAAUUUUCAAUGAGAAAGAAUCAGAUGUGAUAAAUUAUUAUUGAGGGUAAAUUUUUGCUCAUACAUAUGUGCAUAUAAAAGUAUGUACAUAUGGUAUACAAAUUCCACCUAUUUUAUAUAGUUUGAAGUAUAUACUUAAACCAAUUUUUUGGCCAAGUAGCUCAAAAUAUGAAAGAAAAAUUAGAAACAAUUAAAUGAGAAUCUCCAUAAAGGUAGAAUAACCAGAUUCGCAUACAGAUAUUUAUGUUAAAAAAUAUUAUUCAUAAACACAUUUUCAGCAAAAACUAUUUUCUAUCAAAGUAUAUACUAGACUCCUCUUAUAUUAAAAAAAACACUAGCAAUAAGUUGAAAAAAUUAUAAAAAUUCACUUCAAUCAUACAUAAAUGCAGCUGCAACUUUGAAAUAACAGUAAAAUAGGAAAUAGCAAUAAUAUUAUUUAUCUAAAUGAAAACAAAGCAUACGACAACUUGACCUUGCGGCAGUUUCAUAUAGCAUUUAGAGAUGCUUUGAAAUAACAAGCUGCAAAAUAUAUAAGUUAUAUAGCUGAAAUGAAGGUAAAAAUACAUACAUACGCAAGCACAUACACACAUACACACACCCAGCUGUCAGUGUUGCAGUACAUGCAUUGCUGGUGAUGUCAAAAGAUGUCUUUUAUUUUAUUUUUGUAAAUUGAAUUGCAUGUACAUACGAAUAUGUACGUGUGUGUGACAUUGUGGAUUACACGUGCAUCACAAACACACGCGGACACACAAAUGCUACUAUUUUUGUAUAUAUAUGUAUGUAUGUACUUAGAAACCUUUAUGUAGGUAGAAGCAUGUCACGGCGUAUACGUAAUCAGGCAAGGUAGCCUGCCUGAGUUUGAGGUUACGUAUACGCCACAUGCCACUGCAGUGAAAUGCACACAUGUUUAGUAUAAAGCACAUAUGUAUGUAUAUGUUUUUAUGAAAUUUCAACUGACUUGUUAGUGCUCAAUAGCGCACAGAAAAUCAAGUCUUUUACAAAACACUCCCUUUCACCUGCGCGCCCAGCUAAUUUUGCAGCGCUCUACUCUCUGCAACUACAACAACUACUGCAGGGCUAGUUAGUGUGUUUUCGCCUCUCACAACGCUGCUUGCUUGUGUGGCCUUCAAGUGAACACGCCCGCUUGCUUCAAUUACAACGUUGUUUGACUAAUAAACGUCAUUUGGUGGGCUUGGCGAUUGGGGUGAUGUCGGUGGGUUAAAGAUGCGAUGUCAAAAUGUUAGUUUUUGCAUAUAUAUAUACUUAUGUUUGUAUAUAUUUAAGUAGGUGAACACAAAUAUGAUUUAAAUCUAGCUAAAAAAGCUACUUUUGUACGUAUACUUUGAGCACAAGGUGUGAGCUAAAAAUCAUUCGUAGGCGUUUUUUGCAUUUUAUACACAUAUAAAUAGUUGGUAAUAUAUAUUUUAUAGAAAAUUAUAUUUCAUUGACAAUAAUGAAAUUAUAUAUACUACUGCCAGCUGUUCAAACAUAAUUAAAUUUAUCUAAUUUUUGAUGAGUGUGCAAUAUUUUUGUAAUUUUUUUAUUGAAAUAUUAUUUUUUAUAGCGCAUCAAAUUAUUACUUUAUUUAUUUAAUGCAUUAUAGUAAAUGAUUUAGUUAUAUUUAUACAAUUUCCAAGUUUUUGCAACCGCAUCAAAAUGAAGCAAGCAACUUAAAUAAGGAAUUAUUAAUAAAUAUCCAAUUUGAUUUUUUAAGUCCUACAUAUCUAGCUGCAUUUCAAAGUGCCUAUACUUGUUAAAAAACUAAUUGUACUAGCAUUGCACUUAUUCAAAAAUUGCAGUAACUAACAUUUCCAAUAAUAUUUUCAUCUAACUUAGUCUGUUGCAGAAAAGUAUAAAUAUAUAUUUUAUUUAUAUAUAACGCUAGAAAGUUAACAACCCACGCACACAUAUACACACCAGCCAGUGGUUAUUGUUGCCUGAGUAUUUUCACAAACAUUCGCGUGGGUGGCACAAAACCCAUUUGAAAUCAAAAUAUCUACACCGCACACAUCUACAUGCAUAUGUAUGUACGUGCGUAUGUAAGAAGCGAAAAAUUAAAUAUAAAUAUGUAUGUGCCUACAUUUGUGUUUUUGGCUUUAUAGGCUAUUUGCGUUCUAUGCGCUGCCACUGAUUCACCUACUCACCUAGUGAUCUACAUAUAUUUUCGUUUUAUAAAAAUAUACUGCACAUGCUGCCUCUGCACAUGCAUACAUCCAUAUAUACGUUUAUAUAUGUAACUGCGUGUAUGCAUUUCAGCGCUAAAGUUUACAGUUGAGCACUCAAAUUGACUACACUUGCUUUAUAACGACUUUAUGUUGUCAUAUAUAUAUAAAAGUGUAUAUAUAUAAAUAUGUAUAUGUAAAUAUUAGUAUGUGGGAUGUCGCGCUGUUUAUACAUAUAUACACACGACUUUGUUGAUGCAGUUUUUAUACAGAUGUUUAGUAUAAAGUUUUGUAAAAAAUUAUUUACUUGCUGUUAUUUCCGCUCCAAAGUUCGACAAAAAAGUUUUGUGACAGUAUAAGUUUUUAUAGUAUAAUAUAUUGUCAAUAUGUCAAUAUCAAUAUUGCAAACUAGCUCUUUGAGGUUAUGACGUAAUGGAGCAAACAUUUGUGUUCUGAAAUUAUAUGUCAUUUGGAAUGAAUGAAUGUUUUCAAGCAUAGUUUAUGAGCUUUUCGAGGUUUAUUUUCAAAGUGGUCUAACCGAUAAGUCAUGGCUUUUGAAGCAUCAUAUAUGAAUUUCUUUAACUAAAAAUUAUAGAAUAACAAAUUCUAUAUAUAUUUUUCCGUAGGCUGUCACUCUUCUAUCUAACUUCUAUCUCGUAUUAAAAAGCGAAAUAUAUAUUCAUCGUUUUCCAUUCAGCGUUCCAGUUCGCGAAUCUCAAAACUUACUAAAUUCAUUUUUAGAAAGGAAAUGUAUUUUGUUAUCCUCACUGAUUACUUUAAACUUCCAAAAUAUUAUCUACUGAGAUCAAAAAAUGAAUCAUUCAUCAUACUGCCUAACUGAUUUGUAUUAAAUCAGGAUUAACUACUAUGAUUUCAAAGAUAGAUUUAUGGAAAGAAAAAUAAUACAUAAACUCAAAAACAAUUCUAAACAUUUGUAUUAUAAUUAAGGCGGAUGUAAUUUUGAGACUUAAUUUCAGUUUCGGCAUACAAAUUUUGAAAGAUUUAAGUUUUUUGGCUUCUUGUACUUACAACAAUUUACUUCUUAUUGAGAUCUGAAGUAUCUAAUUUUAGACCAGAAGGCAUCUAAAAUAGUGAAUUGACUUCACUGGGUCUCUGUAAAUACCUCACUUUUACCCUAAAGAACAGCUGUAUGUCAAAAUGAAUACAGCUGCUAGCCAAAAUAUCCUCCAUAUAAGACAUUUGAGUGAAAACAUAUGUGCUUAAGAGUCUUUUUACGCCAUUUAAACUGCUGUUCUGAAGCUUUGCGAGAGAGACGGAUAUUUCCAAUGCAUUUUCGCAACUUUUAAUAUUUGACGAAAUACUGAGAUCCAUGUAGAUAAAAUGAGUGUUAGUCUAUGGGCUAAAGAGUCUGAAUUUUAAGAUUUGCUGACUGUUGUUAUUUAUUAUAAGUUUAUGAAGCAUGAUUCGAUACAAUUUAGAUAUGAGAGGCCUAUAUUCUAUCCUUUUCGCUGUAGCAAUUUGGUAUGAAAAAACUGCUUACAUAUGCACAUACAUUUAUAAAGUAUAUGUAUGUGUAUAUAUAGGUUUAUACGUGAUGAUUCUGCAAUCUAUGCCUUCUCGCUUUAUUUUCUGUCUAAUAUGGAGAUUACUGCAGCUCUAAGUCAUUUCUAAUAUGUUGUGGUCUAUUGUGUCUAAAAAUCUCUGCUUUACUCUUCUAUAAACAAAUUUAAUUAUAUCUUUGGUAAGAAGCUAUAAAUUUCAACUCAAUAAUAGCCGUGCAUUUUGUACUUUACCCAGAAAUAUGUGCUGUUAAAAUGAAAAAAAAAAUGUCAUCAAAGCAAACGGUGGAAAAAAAUGCUUCAAGACAAAUGGUUAAAAAUUCGAAAUUUUAAAGUACAUUCUAGAAUUUUUGUUUGUAAUUUUUUUGGAAUAUUUUUUGUAAAUUAUUUUAUAUACAAAUAUAUAUAAAAAAAAAGUUUAAUUCUUAAUUCAUACAUUUUUUUAUAAUAAUUUUUUUUUAAUUAUUGGUUUGUUUUUUUAAAGCUGCUGCUUUUUGCGCAUAUUUCCAGCAAUAUCACUACCAUUUCAAAAAACUUGUUUUAUAAAUCUACAUACUUAUACAAACGCCGCUGAAUCACAUACGAGUACAUGCAAUUAUACAUGUGUCGCUUGUCAUUAAUCAACAAAAAUAAACAAAUGUUGCAAUUAACAGGUUUAUAAAAAUUUCAAGUUUAUAAAGAGCCAUGAAUUUGUAUUUUUAGGUCAUCCAGCAGGCCACUUUUGCAAUAAUAUUUAAAAUGUUUUUUUGUGUCUGUAUCCUUAUAAAAUAAAAUAUACUCUCCGCCGAUCAAUUACAUAUCUGUAAUCCAAUAAAUUUCAUAUACAAGUAUAUACAUACCAUGUUAUCGAACUCCAUGCGUAAUAUUUGCCGCUUACAACCAUUUCGCUGUGUAUGCUACCACUAAAGCGGCAAAAGAAAUAAAUUUUUAUAUCGUUGCAAUAAAAUUGAUGAUAAUGUUCACACAUAAAUAGCAUUAUUGCUGGUAAUUACAGUUCGUUACUCAGUGUCAAUGCAAUUACUUGAAUAUUAUUAGUAAUUCUUUUUUUGAAAGUAAUGAAUAAAAGGCCACCCACAAGCAAUGUUUAUAUAGCAAAAUUCAAUAAAAUUUUUAUUUGCAUAAAAAUUGAAGAGAAUACGUAAUUGCAAGAGAUUUUUAUAAAUAUAAUAGAAAUAUUUCUAUAUACAUGCUUCGGAAUAUGCAUACAUACAAGUAUAUAAAACAUAUACACAUAUAAAUAUAUGAAACUAAGUUCAACGACUCAUGACAGCUUGCUGGUUCGCGUAAUCAACUGAACGCAGUAAACACAUGCUUAGCCCCCUGUAUGCUUAGCUAGCAUUUUAAUUUUUAGACUUUGUGUCCAUAUUGUAUAUACAUAUAAAUAUAUAUAUGUGGGCGAUAACAUAUCUACAACAAUAUAUGUUUCAUACUUUAGUGCCUGUAGCGUUUGCUAUAUUUUUCGUCGUCGUCUAAUUUGUCAAAUUAUUUUUAGGCGUCGAAAGAAUUUUUUAUUGCGUAGCACUCGCCGCAACUCGCAGACGUUAGCUGAUAAGAAAAAAAUAUAUAAUAUACUUAUAAUAUAUGCUCGCAGGCGUCUUAAGUGCUUGCUUGUACACUAAAGAAGUCUCUUCAAGUGAAAAGUGAACUUUCCCAAGCAAAAUUUACGCUGCUCCAAUUUUGGUUUUUAAAUAAAAAAAACUCAAGAGUUUCAAAUUUGAAUAUUUGAAUUCAAAUUUUUGUAUACAUAAUAUAAUAUUUCUGCAAAAAAUUUGCCGUGUAGCCGCUACUUUCAUUGAGCAAUUUCCAUUUCACGCCGCUUACACGCCGCAAAAUGCUGCGAAAAUCCCAUCAGCUGUUGGCAUUUAUUUCAUCAUCCAAAUUUGUUGGGUUUUUCGGUAUUUAUUUUUAUUAUUAUUAUUAUAUAAAUUGUUUUGACGCAACACUUACGCUUGCGUGCCAUUCACGCCUCUAAUGCGUGCUCUCCGUCACUCAUGUGUAUAUAUGUACGUGUGUAUGCGAUGUCAGCAUUUUCGUAUGCGCAUUUUUUGUACUUUUUUUUAUAAAUUCUUCUACUUUUCUCCAACCAAGAAUAUGAUAUAUCACUGCUGCUUAGGUACACGUGACAUCAUCAUCAUAUAAUCACUCAUAUAUGACACAUCGCACAACGUUUGAAAAAAAAAGAAAUGCGCUUAAACUAAUAGCUAGAACUUGUUUUAGUGCUGAGCAGUUUUUUGUUUAAAAUAUAUAAAAUAUAUAUAUAUGAAAAAUGACAGCAAAUUAAUUUGUAAGAAAUAAAUUGCUCAUAAAUAAAAGCGGGAAAAUUGAUGACAUAUUUUCUAUUAGCCUGAGUCACAAAUUAUGGGUGUUUUGCAGUUUUUUUCUGCUAUUAUAAAGCUACUGGAUUGUUUUCAAAAAAAUUUUCGAUUAUAAAUAAUAAUUUUAGUAAUAAUUAUUAGUGAAAAUUAAAAAUCAUGUAAGUUUUACUUUCUUAACUAGGUAUGAGAAAUUUUAGAAUUUUUCGCUCAGAAAAUAGUGAAAGCUUUGAAAAGGCUUUUUAUAAAAUUCCGUUAUUUUGAUUUGGUACCAUUUUUUAUAAAAUUUCGAAAUACAACUAUGAACAAAUAAGGUAUAUAAUUCUCAACAGGCUUAUAUUAAACAUAUUAUGAAUUAAAUAGGUUAUUAAAUUAAUAAAAAUACUUAUUUAAACAUUUUUUAUGUUAGAAUCAUAAUUUUUCUUUAUAAUAUAAGCCUUUUUCUCACUUCGAUUUUAAGAAAGCAUGAUAGAGCAUACUUAAUCAUUGCAUAAUCGACCGAAAUUUGAAAAUGGGAGGCGUUUAGUGCUACAUACCUUCUUCUUUUAGCCCAAAGUUCAAGAUAAAGUUUGCCACGAAGUUUGUUAGCUUAGUUUUUUUAUAAGAUUUAGCCAUCUAUGUCCGUCUGUCUGACAUCGGUCUAUAUAUGCGUGAACUAAUAUCUCAGUUUUUGAGUUAUCGAACUGAAAUUUGGCAAUCUUUUUCUCCCCAAGCAGCUGUCCAUUUAACGGAACUGCUAAUAUCGGAGCAGUAAAUCAUAUAGCUGUCAUACAAAUUCAACAUUCAAAAUGAAGUCCUUGUAAGGAAAACUUUUUUGUUUGACUAGACAUUUUCACGAAAUUUUACCUGGAUUAUUUUCCAUGACAACGCUAUAAUCUCUGAAUAAAUUGUUUAGUUCGGACGGCUAUAUCAUAUAGCUGUCAUACAAAUUGACCAAUCAAAAUCAAGUUAUAAUAUAUAAUAUUUGUGAAUGGAAAGCUACGGUUCGUUUUUUCUUGUUUAAAAACUAAAUCAACUAAAAACUCAUGAUAAUAGUUUUGAACCAAAAACCAUCAAAAAAUUUCGUUUUUAAACUCUUUUGUUGUGAAUUCCAAGCUCCAAAGUAAUUUUUAUCUACCCUUUCCAAAAUUUUAUAAUUUUAUUUUAUAUUUUAUAUAAUUUUAUAACGAGGCUUUAAUCAAAUAAAUUUAAAAAAAAAAUUUCGGAAGACAAAAAGCAACAACAACUCGACCAAAAUACCAACAAUUACCAAGCUGGAUACAUUUCUGGCGCUCAAAGAGCCAACUCUCAAUGCACAAAAUGAAAUCUACUCCCAAAAACGUACUUUAAAAUAAUUUUAUUGUCAAAUCAUACAUAUUUUAAUUAUUUUUUUAUCAUUUGCUUAUAUUAUGACAAGCAUAAAAGCAGUAAAUAUUAAUUUCUUGCAGCGUGCAAAGACUACGCAGCGAACUUGCAACGAGAAAGCAGCGAAUGAGUAGUAAAAUUGCUAUUUUUGUUCUUGCAAACGCUUUAAAAAGUAAUUAUUUUGCGCACAAUAUUAUAAUUUUCACUCACUUUUAUAUGAAAAUUUUCACCCACGCACACAAACGCACAAAUGUAUGCACACAAAAGAUAAAGAGGUAUGUAUAUAGUUGUGAGUUUACAUUAAAAUGCCAUUUCAGUGCAUAUCAGCAGCGCCUCACUGCUUAAGGACAUUGCAUAAGUGCAAAAAAAGUACUUGCAAUGUGCAAAAAAAGUACUGCGCUUGGAUUGUUUUUCACAUGACCUUCGUUGUAGAAGAAAGGUCACUUGGCGCGCUCAGCUGCAUUUGCAGUUGUACCAUAAAGUGCAGAGAGCAAACUGGUACCCCGCCAUUUUCACCAACAACAACAACAACAAUAACAAACUCGAACAGUGCAAAUGUUUUAAACGUGUCGAGGUGCAAGUAUUCAGCUGUAAGCGCUGAGGGCUUGCUAUUUUUUGCACACCAACACAACCACAUAUAUUUCAUAUAUAUUUAUAUAUGUAUGUGCGUGUGCACUCACACAGAAACACACUCUCAUUCCCCUUGGCAGCCAUAUUAUUAGCGCAUUUCUAUACCUUCAACUUUUUUUCGCACUUAAAUGGUGUUUUAGUUGUUGUUUUCACUUUGUUGCUGCAACUAUAUGCCUUUUACAUGUACACAUAGUUUUGUAAUUUAGGUCAAUGCUAUGACCCACUUUUACUUAUAGUAUAAACUUGCACUUGCACAUUUGCAUUUGUGGGUGGAUGUAUUAUAUAUAUAUAGGUAUGUAUGUAUGUACAUAUAUAUGUAGGUAUGGUGUGUGAUUGACUUAUAUGCACUCAGUAUGACCUUAAAUUUGUUGCAGUUCAUGCUAUUUUUCGAAGGUUUGCCAGCUUUUGGGUUUUUAUGUCCUCAAAUAAAAUUGUAUUAAAUAACGGUAAAAUGUGUGUGUAAGCGUGCAAUCGUGUAUGCUCAGCUGCCCUUAUGGUGACAACCUUGAUUUGAGUUUAUUCCGUCUUUUUAUCUCGCUUGCUUCAAUUUGGUUACUGUUUUUGGAAAAUAUUAAAUAUUGUUGUUAUUGUCAAUUAAAGGAAAAUAAAUUGCAAUAUCGAAAAAUAACGUAAUUGCGAAAAACCGUUAGGGCAUUUCAACAUUUUUUUCCAAAAAUAAAGUGCUUAUAGACAACUGGCUUACUAAUAUUUCCACCAUCAUGUAAAUAUGUAUAUAUCAUAUUGCAUAAACAACAACAAAAAUGCGUCAAUGGGUCAUUUUGUCAACAUUUACAAAAUACUAGACUAGCAAAAAUUCAAAACAACUUAAUUUUCCUGUCAUUAGGCUCCAAUACCUCACUUAUUUGAGAGCUUUACAAUUAUUCACAACUAUAUUUAUAUAUUUUAUAAUCCAACAACAACACUACUAGCAAAUUGUCAUCACUUUUAAGAAAUUUAUUGCUUUCGGAAAUGCAAUAAAGCAACAAAAAUGCAAAAAUUAUGACACACAAAGAAUUACAUGCAGGCAUGUGCCCAUUUAGUACCUUAAAACAAACAAAAACAACAGUAAACAGUUGCAUAUGAAUCUCAUUGCCACACAUAUGCAUAUCCACAAGCAAUAAUGGCACACUCUUUUGGUACGAAUAAGCAAUAAAUUGAGCGACUCUUCAAAGCUAAGUAGACAGCAACGAGUUGUGCCGAUUUUCGACAUUUACAAACUGCAAAAAUCACAAAAGCAAAAACGUUA
Long non-coding RNA from Bactrocera oleae (olive fruit fly), 30524 nucleotides. RefSeq lists it as uncharacterized. The record is from RefSeq and is a predicted model, not a curated record. NCBI's taxonomy places the organism in Eukaryota, Metazoa, Arthropoda, Insecta, Diptera, Tephritidae.